CCUACGGGAGGCAGCAGUGGGGGAUAUUGCACAAUGGGGGGAACCCUGAUGCAGCGACGCCGCGUGGGUGAAGAAGCGCCUCGGCGCGUAAAGCCCUGUCAGCAGGGAAGAAAAUGACGGUACCUGAAGAAGAAGCCCCGGCUAACUACGUGCCAGCAGCCGCGGUAAUACGUAGGGGGCAAGCGUUAUCCGGAUUUACUGGGUGUAAAGGGAGCGUAGACGGCCAUGCAAGCCAGGGGUGAAAGCCCGGGGCCCAACCCCGGGACUUCCCUUGGAACUGCAUGGCUGGAGUGCGGGAGGGGCAGGCGGAAUUCCUGGUGUAGCGGUGAAAUGCGUAGAUAUCACGCAGAACCACGAUUGCGAAGGCAGCAUACCGGUGCACAACUGACGCUCAGGCACGAAAGCGUGGGUAUCGAACAGGAUUAGAUACCCGAGUAGUC
RNAcentral lists this ribosomal RNA (440 nucleotides) under uncultured bacterium. RNAcentral describes it as "partial 16S ribosomal RNA". It matches the Rfam family "Bacterial small subunit ribosomal RNA", at positions 338 to 795 of the family's 1533-position model. The record is from RNAcentral.